AUGCCCAAGUGUACAAGCUGACCUUAGCCAUGAACAGAGGCAGUUCUUCUACAGUAUAGAAGAAAAGCCCAUAUAUAAUAAAUAUGGCACAGAUGCAGACAGGAAGUUUAUCCCAUCUGGAGUCCACUCUGUACAUGAUGGUCUGUUUCCUUUGCUUUGAGGUUCCAUUCUGUGUCAUUGGCCACGCCAAGAUAGAGGCACCCUAAAGAUCACGUGUCCACAUGGACCCUUCUCCCCAGGCUUCAACAGUGGAAUCACGCAGCUCAAAGAGAGCUGUCCCUGUGUGCAUAUC
Molecule: long non-coding RNA, 292 nt
Organism: Aethalodelphis obliquidens (Pacific white-sided dolphin)
Lineage: Eukaryota; Metazoa; Chordata; Mammalia; Artiodactyla; Delphinidae
Exons: 3
Source: RefSeq, a predicted model, not a curated record